Molecule: ribosomal RNA, 505 nt
Filed under: uncultured bacterium
Lineage: Bacteria
Description: partial 16S ribosomal RNA
Rfam family: Bacterial small subunit ribosomal RNA
Source: RNAcentral
GACGAACGCUGGCGGCGUGCCUAAUACAUGCAAGUAGAACGCACGGUUUAUACCGUAGCUUGCUACACCAUAGACUGUGAGUUGCGAACGGGUGAGUAACGCGUAGGUAACCUGCCUGGUAGCGGGGGAUAACUAUUGGAAACGAUAGCUAAUACCGCAUAAUAUUAAUUAUUGCAUGAUAAUUAAUUGAAAGGUGCAAUUGCACCACUACCAGAUGGACCUGCGUUGUAUUAGCUAGUAGGUGAGGUAACGGCUCACCUAGGCGACGAUACAUAGCCGACCUGAGAGGGUGAUCGGCCACACUGGGACUGAGACACGGCCCAGACUCCUACGGGAGGCAGCAGUAGGGAAUCUUCGGCAAUGGACGAAAGUCUGACCGAGCAACGCCGCGUGAGUGAAGAAGGUUGUCGGAUCGUAAAGCUCUGUUGUAAGAGAAGAACGGGUGUGAGAGUGGAAAGUUCACACUGUGACGGUAUCUUACCAGAAAGGGACGGCUAACUACGUG